UUGGAAUCUAUCUGCUUGAGUUCUGUAUAUAUUUUGGAUAAUAGCCCUCUGUCAGAUGCAAGAUUAGUGAAGAGCUUUUCCCAAUUUGUUGGCUGCUGUUUUGUCCUUUUGACAGUGUUCUUUGCCUUACAGAAGCUUUUUGUUUCAUGAGAUCCUAUUUAAGUGUUGAUCUUAGAGCCUGAGCCAUUGGUGUUUUGUCCAGGAAAUAAUCUCCUAUGCCAAUAUGUUCAAGGCUAUUUUCUGCUUUCUCUUCUAUGAGAUUUAAUGUAUCUUGUUUUAUGUCAAGGUCCAUGAGCCACUUGGACUUGAGUUUUGUGCUGGGUGAUAAAUAUGAAUAUAUUUGCAUUCUUCUACUUCAGGGAACUGAAGUUCUUGUCAUACAAAUCUUUCCCUGGCUUAGUUAGAGUUACACCAAGAUAUUCUGUAUUAUUUAUGGCUAUUAUAAAGGGUGUUGUUUCCCUAAUAUCUUUCUCUGCCUAUUUGUCAUUUGUAUAAAGGAAGGGUACUGAUUCCUUUGAGUUAAUUUGGUAUCCAGUGACUUUGAUGAAUAUGUUUGUCAGCUGUAGGAAAUCUCUGGUAGAAUUUUGACUUCUUCCUUUCUAAUUUGUAUCCCCCAAUCUCCUUUUGUUGCCUUAUUGGUCUAGCUAGAACUUCAAGCACUAUAUUGAAUAGAUAGGAAGAGAGUGGGCAGCCUUGUCUUGUCCCUGAUUUUAGUGGGAUUGCAUCAGGUUUCUCUCCAUCUAAUUUGAUACUGGCUAUUAGCUUGCUGAAUAUUGCUUUUAUUAUGUUUAGAUAUGUGCCUCAAAUCCUUGGUAUGUCCAAGACUUUUAAAAUGGAGUGUUAGAUUUUGUUGAAGGCUUUUUCAGCAUCUAAUGAGAGGAUUAUGUAUUUUUUCUUUCAGUUUUUAUAUAGUGGAUUAUGUUGAUGUUUUUCCUAUAUUGUACCCUCCCUAAAUCCCUGUGAUAAAGCUGUUUGAUAGUGGGGGAAUGAUGUUUCUGAUGUAUUCCUAGAUUCAGUUUGUGAGAUAUUUUUAUUGAGUAUUUUUGUGUCAGUGUUCAUGAUCGAAAUUGGUCUGAAGACAUGGUGCUGGAGAAGGAGCUCUUGAUCUCAAGGCAGCCAGGAGAAGGUUGUCUUCCAAGUAGCUAGGAGGAGGGUCUCAAAGCCAACCUCCUCAGUGACAUACUUCGUCCAACAAGACCAUACCUACUCCAAAAAGUCCACAGAUGUUAAUAGUGCCACUCCCUGGGCUAAGCAUAUUCAAACCACCACAACAUGUACUUUUUUGACAUGUUCUCAGUAAUAUUCUUACACAGCAUAUUGCGUGUUCAUUUCUGGAGGCCUCAGGCAGCAUUUACUGAUCAUGGAAGCCACCUUCAAUGUGUGGUGACAUUACUUGCAUUGCCAAGCAUGAACAGAGCAAGGGACAGCCCUCAAGCUGAAGUUCUUAAGAACCAACAUAGUCUCAUGAAACAAAUCAAGUGGGCAAACCAUGAAGGUAGACCACUGCCUAGUUAGAACAUCAGUUCAAAGGCAAAGCACUAUGCAAACAUCACUCAUCCUGGGAAGAGCUGUAUGUUGUGUGAUAAAUCACACUGACACAGAGUAGGGAUCACUUUUGUAGUUUCUCUUCCAUUUUCUAUUUCCUAAGAUAGAAACCUCUUUGUUUUGUCAGUUUUGGGCUCUGGGCCUGGAACAACUUGUUGAUGCUCAGAGAGGGAGUAGCUCUUAUAUUAUGCCCUCUUCCUCUUGUGAUUAAGAAUGUUAGAAUGGGAGCAGCUUAAGACAGAGCUCCCAGUCCUUUCUGUAGGACUGGAACGCUAUUGUUUGCAAUCCAGGCAUCACACUGUAGAGUUUCCUACCCUCGACUCUGUAUGUUAUUUAAAUGAGCAUAUCUGGCAGUUUGAGGAUAUUUAACCAUGACCUUUUAAGAUCUCAUAUGGCAACUGGAAGAGAACCAUUUCCUGGGUUAGUCUCCACGAGGCUAGGGUGUGGUGGGGUUUCCAACACCUUGUCCCCACUCUGUUUAUUUGCCCUCAAUUAUUUGAAUGCUCCAUUCCAUGUUAAGUAUUUCCUUGAGGUUGCAUGAUAGACCCAAAGAAGGCCUUCUGUUCAUCCAACAUCUGUUUCUCUGAUUUUCCAGCUCCUUGUUUUGAAUCAAUGUUUUAAGUGAGUAUGGGCAUAAUAUUCAGUAUAUUAGUACACACUGGAGACAGUCUUGCCUACUAGAAAUCUAGGUACUACAGGGUUAUAAAAGUCAUUUGAUACCUUGUAAAGCCCAAGACACCUAGCCAAUGCCCAGGCCCGGUUUCUUGAUGCAGUCAGGUGAUAACACAUGUACACUUGUACAGCCCUUUUCAGCAUGUGCCAAAAGUUCAUGCUAAGUACUACAUAAAUUAUCACCUAAUUAAGUACUGUUAUGGUUUGGAUCGGGGGGAAGUGUAAACUCGAUUCUCCUUGGAGAGCAGUAUGCAGCAAUAUGAUGUGGAAUUAAUUGUAUGGGUCCAGGUCAAAGAUCAAAGUACAAGUGGAAUUGCUCUUGCAAAGGGAGAAUUUGAAAAGGAUUUUUGUUGGCAUCUCAGUCACUUUCUGUUUUUAAAAUUGUUCCAUGUGUGCCAGCAUACAACUGUUUCUCCUCACCUCUUUUUUCUCUAGUUUGCCUUAAAUGGUUCCUCUAUAAUCGUUUUAGUUCCUUUCUUCAGUGUUUACUAAGGCCAGUUCUUUCUCAAUUAAGAAUAAUGGUAGAGAAGACUUCAUCUGCAUUAGAUACUCUGGUUUAAAUAUUCUUUCUGAUAAAUAGUAACUGAUUCUGGGAAAGUGCUCUAAUUACAGGAGACUCAAUUCCUUCUAGUAAACAUCAGUGAUCAAACUUCCUGUAUCAUAUGCUUGGGUUUGUAUGAUGCUGGGUGCAGACUCAAGGCUUCAAGAAGAGAAAAGUUAAGUGUAUGCAACCAUUUCCCCACCAUCUUAGCCCUUGAUGUGCCAUCACCCUGUGAAUCCUGUUUCUGCUGUUUACACCCCUUCCUUGCUGUCAUUACACUACCUGGAUCUAGUGUACUCAUCACAAUACCUUUCCUUGAUGUUGUAGUAUCACUGUGUUGGUCUUUGAGGAGGCUUAAUAUUCUCUCUGUAGUUAUUCAGUUUUCUAAUUAACAUUGUAAUUAGGUUUGUGUGUUAAAUUCUUUAUGCAAAACUAUCUAGAAUGUGUUCCCUUUUGCUCACUAUUAGAGUGUGUUAUAAUAUACAAUAAAUUCACACAUACACAUAGACACACAGAGUUAUUUAGAUGGUUAGAGGCUUAUAUAGCGAGUAAUUAGCUCAUUUCAGGUAUUUGCUUUGUCAAGUGAAUUUAUCAAGUCAAAGUGUGAGCAUGCAUUUAUAUGAUGUAUCUCUCCCUCCUGAACUAACACUGGCCCUGCAGUUACCUGUUUCGGUGUCUCUAUUAUAGCACCUGAAUGAUGGAAAGGAUUCAUGAAGCGAGCAAUGGCUGAGCACCUCUUAGUGUUCUCCCUGCCAUGGGCCUUGCCUCUCCAGGAGCUGACUUGUCCCUGUCGUUCCUGUCCUUCUAUGAUGUCAGAAUGGUCAUCCCAUUGCUUAGAUGAAUGCAUAAAGCUGCAGACCUCAUACCACAAUGUCUCUUGAAUGCCUGCUACCUCACUUAUGAAUGUAUUUGGCUGGAAGAAUGGCAAGUCCCCUGCUGGCCCUGCAAUCCCUCACUGGCAUCUUUCCUAUAGGAAUUACCACCUUUGCUUUGUCUCUUGGCAGAAAGUUCACCUUUAAACUUUGGACCCCCCUUACCAAUCUAGAAGUCUUUUGAUGGAUUAUGGAGACAAUUCACAAAGAGGAAGAUGCAAAUGUUCUCCUGGAAACCAUGGUGCUGAGAAACAGAGAAGAGGAAGAAUAUAUACACAGACGCCUUGAAAGACUCUUCAGUUCCUCAUAGUCACAGCACUGAUCUUUUUGCUCUCUGCCCUAACUUUUACUGAUGAUACCAAUGGAGGAUUUUUUUCAGGGAAAAAGGAAGAUGAAAUUUGAGUUCUCAGACUAUGAAUAAUUUGAUCUGUGAAUGAAGCAUUGGGUGUUGUUGAUGGUCAUCACAGCCUUGGUGAUGGAAAAAUUGAAGAAAAGAGAAGGAGCUUUUCAUGCAAUGACUGAACUGUCCCCAGCACGCAACCCAGGAGAAGCCCAGAGGGAAUCAAAGCCAUAAAAUUUAUGACUCGACAUUUCUAAAAAUGGAUCGCUGUCUCUUGGAGUUCUUCUGAAGCACAUGUGUAUGAAUAAGUGAGUGCCUGGCAUCCAGCAAGAUCAGCUAUAUUCUGAGGUCUCCCAUGUUCUUUCAUGACCUUGGAUAUUCUCAUAAACAUUUCAGUGCUGGAGGAAAGGAAGUUGCCCAGCUGGGUAAGAGAGCUGUUGGACCAUUGCCUCACUGCACACAAAUUUCCUACUUAUUUCAAGACUCAACUUCAGAGAGUGCACUUAACUGAUUUGCCUGGCUGUCAUCUGUCAUGUUCUCUUGGACUCAAGUGUCACAAUGGCAGAGAACUUGUCAUCUCUUUCCUCUCCAAUUCCUCUAGUGCCUAGAAUGGUGCCAGCCAUCUGCAGCUGCUCCAUCAAGGGAGACUGAAGUCAACACUAAAGAGUGAUUGGGACCUCAAAAGAACAAGCUGUGCCGAGGAAAGGAUGCAUCGUCUCACGUAUGACAUCAAAGUCCCUUACAGUCAUUGUAUUAUUGAGGAGCCCCAUCUUAACCCAAGUUUUAGAAGACUUCCUUUUCCUGAGUGCUUGAGGUUGUACCACAAUGAUUUUGAUAGCUGUCUGUGCAUCAGAAUCACCCAAAAUUAUUCUUUAAUGCACACCUUUCUGUAUUCUACCAUUAAUUCAGUGAUCAGGGGUAUAACCUUGGCAUCUGCCUUUAUUAAAUAAAUUCUAACAAUAAUAAGUAUAACAAGAGAGAGCUAGAUGAAGAGGGAAUGAGAAAUGGGAGGACAAACAUUAACAAAGAACCUUUUUAUCACCCCAAUGGUAAUUUGCCUGCCAAAAAGAUCAUUGUAGGCCAAUCAUGGAGGUACAAUGCCUCAUAAAAAUGCCUCAGUUUCUGAGUUGGGAGGGAACAAGGGGGGAGGGAUAUCUUGCCCAGUCUUUUGGUUGGCAUAGAAGAUAGACAUAUUUGUUUUGGCCAUCUGUGGGCUUCAAUGCAAACAGACUUUAACAGUUACUAGCUUAACACUGAGAGAGAGAGAGAGAGAGAGAGA
Molecule: non-coding RNA, 5249 nt
Organism: Rattus norvegicus (Norway rat)
Lineage: Eukaryota; Metazoa; Chordata; Mammalia; Rodentia; Muridae
Source: RefSeq, a predicted model, not a curated record